Molecule: non-coding RNA, 98 nt
Filed under: Pseudoglutamicibacter albus
Lineage: Bacteria; Bacillati; Actinomycetota; Actinomycetes; Micrococcales; Micrococcaceae
Also listed under: 1 other name
Description: Arthrobacter albus SAM-I sequence
Rfam family: SAM riboswitch aptamer (S box leader)
About the family: The SAM riboswitch is found upstream of a number of genes which code for proteins involved in methionine or cysteine biosynthesis in Gram-positive bacteria. The SAM riboswitch acts at the level of transcription termination control. The predicted structure consists of a complex stem-loop region followed by a single stem loop terminator region.
Source: RNAcentral
CAACCAUCCAGAGCGGCUGAGAGAUCUGGCUCUACGACGCCGCAGCAACCACCCCGGGUUUUUACCGGGCAUGGUGCUCACGCCAGGAUCGAUGGAGU